This 305-nucleotide ribosomal RNA is filed under the name Diaporthe sp. CLF-O. Its description in RNAcentral is "eukaryotic LSU rRNA". It matches the Rfam family "Eukaryotic large subunit ribosomal RNA", at positions 1 to 299 of the family's 3401-position model. Lineage: Eukaryota; Fungi; Ascomycota; Sordariomycetes; Diaporthales; Diaporthaceae. The record is from RNAcentral.
AAUUUGACCUCGGAUCAGGUAGGAAUACCCGCUGAACUUAAGCAUAUCAAUAAGCGGAGGAAAAGAACCAACAGGGAUUGCCCUAGUAACGGCGAGUGAAGCGGCAACAGCUCAAAUUUGAAAUCCUGCCUAGGCCCGAGUUGUAAUUUGCAGAGGAUGCUUCUGGCGAGGUGCCUUCCGAGUUCCCUGGAACGGGUACGCCACAGAGGGUGACGAGCCCCGUAUGGUCUGGACACCGAGCCUGUGUGAAGCUCCUUCGACGAGUCGAGUAGUUAUGGAGAAAUGCUGCUCACUAAAUAUGGCGA